RNAcentral lists this ribosomal RNA (424 nucleotides) under uncultured bacterium. RNAcentral's name for it is "partial 16S ribosomal RNA". It matches the Rfam family "Bacterial small subunit ribosomal RNA", at positions 360 to 775 of the family's 1533-position model. The record is from RNAcentral.
AAUCUUGCGCAAUGGGCGAAAGCCUGACGCAGCAACGCCGCGUGAGUGAUGAAGGUCUUUGGAUCGUAAAGCUCUUUCGGCUGGGAAGAACCGCCCGGUGGCUAAUAUCCAUCGGGUCUGACGGUACCAGCAGAAGAAGCACCGGCUAACUCUGUGCCAGCAGCCGCGGUAAUACAGAGGGUGCAAGCGUUGUUCGGAAUCAUUGGGCGUAAAGAGAGUGUAGGCGGGAUCGCAAGUCGGAUGUGAAAGCCCUCGGCUCAACCGGGGAAGUGCAUUCGAAACUGCGGUUCUUGAGUGUCGGAGAGGGUGGCGGAAUUCCCGGUGUAGAGGUGAAAUUCGUAGAUAUCGGGAGGAACACCAGUGGCGAAGGCGGCCACCUGGACGAACACUGACGCUGAGACUCGAAAGCGUGGGGAGCAAACAG